This 238-nucleotide ribosomal RNA is filed under the name uncultured bacterium. Its description in RNAcentral is "partial 16S ribosomal RNA". It matches the Rfam family "Bacterial small subunit ribosomal RNA", at positions 96 to 334 of the family's 1533-position model. The record is from RNAcentral.
UGGCGGACGGGGGAGUAACGCGUGGGUAACCUGCCUCAUACAGGGGGAUAACAGUUAGAAAUGACUGCUAAUACCGCAUAAGACCACAGCACCGCAUGGUGCAGGGGUAAAAACUCCGGUGGUAUGAGAUGGACCCGCGUCUGAUUAGGUAGUUGGUGGGGUAACGGCCUACCAAGCCGACGAUCAGUAGCCGACCUGAGAGGGUGACCGGCCACAUUGGGACUGAGACACGGCCCAA